GUUACAUAGAUGGAAUCAAUGGAAUAUUUUCAAACGCAAUUCUGCUUCAAUCCACCAUUCUUCUCAUCGUCCAGUGCACCUUAGCAUUUCAUGUUUCAUCCGCAGAUCAGCAAAAUAUAGAUAUUAAACUUACUCUCCUCCAAAGCAUCUUGAUUUUGAACCUGGCAUUUGUAGCCCUUUCGGCACUCUCCUCUGAAAUUUCUUCAAAGGGCAAAAAACUUCAGGUGGCCUGCGGUGGAAUGGCAUGGUGGACGUGGAACGAGGAAAACCAGUUCUUUGUAAAAAUUAUGACGGUUCGAUGCGGUGCACCUUCUCACUUGAAGGUCGGGCCUUUCUAUUUCCUAUCUCUGCCGUUUUUUGCCUCGCUGCUGCAGAUAUCUGUCUCCUACUUCAUGUUCCUCGUCGGCAUCAACAAUUCCUCCUCGCUCGGCGGCACAAAGGGCUGAAAUUUGUGAGCAAUUAAGCUGCGGCUUUUGGCCAGCGAGGGCUGAAUUUGUUUUGUGUUGUGCACAUAUGAACAUACUACAGUGUGAGCGGGUUUGUGUGUGUGUGGCGGCGCAGUGCAUGCGCCAAGCUGCCUCGAGUGAUAUUUCACCGAGAGGCGAAAUCCAUUCAUCACUGUUUCUUCAGAUGCCGCUUGAUUGAUGGCAAGGUUGUUCGCCGAGUGACACGCAUUCUGCUUUCGCAUGCAAGAGAGCUGCUCGGAUCACCCGCACCAUUUCGCGUUUUAUCAUGGCUCGCACGACGUGCUUUCAAGUGAAAAUAUGACCUCGUGCCGCUGCCGACAAUUUAUCGUGGACACCAAACAACCGACCAGACACAUUGUACAGAACACCUAGUGAGAACGACGAUUAUUUCUUAUGUAAAGAACAAAC
Molecule: long non-coding RNA, 875 nt
Organism: Cloeon dipterum
Lineage: Eukaryota; Metazoa; Arthropoda; Insecta; Ephemeroptera; Baetidae
Exons: 3
Source: RefSeq, a predicted model, not a curated record